Molecule: unclassified non-coding RNA, 224 nt
Filed under: fungal sp.
Lineage: Eukaryota; Fungi
Description: partial internal transcribed spacer region
Rfam family: Eukaryotic small subunit ribosomal RNA (bases 1-46)
Source: RNAcentral
AAGUCGUAACAAGGUUUCCGUAGGUGAACCUGCGGAAGGAUCAUUACAAAAGUUCAACGCUCUGGGACUAGCUCCCGAGCGGAAUAAACUUUUAACCACUUGUGAAUUUGUAAAAAAUUUUCUUACCAAUUGACUGUUAACGAAGUCUGAUUUAAUUACUGUUGGUGUUUAAAGACACUGAUUUAAUAUUGAAACAACUUUUGGCAACGGAUCUCUUGGCUCUC